UCCCAUCUCAAAUUGGCAAGGACCCGAUCUAGCUUCUUCAUAAUAGGAGCCUUGUCCGCCGAUUAGACCACGUGAAGAGACAGCCAUUCUGUCGUAAAUCACUUAGGCCAGAUUGAAAUAAAUAAGUAGCAAGGUCAUUAUGCCAAUAAGGCCAACUAUGAGAGCCCCCAACCAUCUCCUCUUGUGACUUUAUAUCAUUGAAGUCCCCCAUGAGCACCCAUGGAGAAGAUUCCCAUCCCACAUUGCGAGAAACUAAAUCAGCCUACAAUUCACUCCGCUUAAUAGGGCAAUUAUCACCAUACACAAUCGAGAUAAUGAAAGAGGAAUUCUUAGCAAGAUUCCUAACAUGCACAUGCAUCACUUGGUCGGAUGAAUUUAUAAAACCACAUCCACCUCCUGAGGAUUCCAACCAAUCCAAAUCCGUCCAUGAGAAGAAGCAUUAUAGUUGCACAGUAAAUCCCAAUUUCGAAAGAUGGUGUUCGCCACCUUUUCUUUAUUUCUCUCUUUAACUUUAGUUUUGACCAAACCACAAAGUGACAAUCUUUCCUUUCAAAAUAAGUUGUUGCACUUCUGAAUGCUUGAAAGGGUCA
Molecule: long non-coding RNA, 590 nt
Filed under: Phoenix dactylifera (date palm)
Lineage: Eukaryota; Viridiplantae; Streptophyta; Magnoliopsida; Arecales; Arecaceae
Description: long non-coding RNA (PDAC_LNC007814)
Source: RNAcentral